Molecule: long non-coding RNA, 274 nt
Organism: Solea senegalensis (Senegalese sole)
Lineage: Eukaryota; Metazoa; Chordata; Actinopteri; Pleuronectiformes; Soleidae
Exons: 3
Source: RefSeq, a predicted model, not a curated record
AAGUCGGUCUAGCAGUGACAUGAUGUUGAUUAUGUGUCAGUGUACAACCACACUUGACAGCACCUGUAACUAUGCCUUCAAGCGACGAUGGAAGGGAACAUUGUGUCUUUAAAGCAGUGUGAUAAAGCAGUGAACACUCUCUUCAGACCUGGCGGACUUACGCAGGUGCAGAACUAAUAGGUGUGCAGAGACAGAGAGGAACAGCUGGCUGCAGCAGGAACAGCUGGAGCUGUCGCCGCCCGUGUAGCGCCACCUGGAGGGGCGUGGAGGAGCA